This 416-nucleotide ribosomal RNA is filed under the name uncultured bacterium. Its description in RNAcentral is "partial 16S ribosomal RNA". It matches the Rfam family "Bacterial small subunit ribosomal RNA", at positions 355 to 762 of the family's 1533-position model. The record is from RNAcentral.
UGGGGAAUAUUGCACAAUGGGCGCAAGCCUGAUGCAGCCAUGCCGCGUGUGUGAAGAAGGCCUUCGGGUUGUAAAGCACUUUCAGCGAGGAGGAAGGUGGUGAGCUUAAUACGCUCAUCAAUUGACGUUACUCGCAGAAGAAGCACCGGCUAACUCCGUGCCAGCAGCCGCGGUAAUACGGAGGGUGCAAGCGUUAAUCGGAAUUACUGGGCGUAAAGCGCACGCAGGCGGUUUUGUUAAGUCAGAUGUGAAAUCCCCGGGCUCAACCUGGGAACUGCAUUUGAAACUGGCAAGCUAGAGUCUCGUAGAGGGGGGUAGAAUUCCAGGUGUAGCGGUGAAAUGCGUAGAGAUCUGGAGGAAUACCGGUGGCGAAGGCGGCCCCCUGGACGAAGACUGACGCUCAGGUGCGAAAGCGU